Molecule: long non-coding RNA, 275 nt
Organism: Leopardus geoffroyi (Geoffroy's cat)
Lineage: Eukaryota; Metazoa; Chordata; Mammalia; Carnivora; Felidae
Exons: 3
Source: RefSeq, a predicted model, not a curated record
GGGUGAGGUCAUGGGGUCAAGAGGGCAUACUGGGGUGAAGUCAUGGAGUCAGGAGGGCACAUGAGGGGAGGUCAUGGGGUCGGGAGGGCACAUGGGGGGAGGUCAUGGGGUCAGGAGGGCACACUGGGGUGAGGUCAUGGGGUCAGGAGGGCACACUGGGGUGAAGUCAUGGAGUCAGGAGGGCACAUGAGGGGAGGUCAUGGGGUCGGGGGGGCACACUCACACCUGAGCAUUCGCGAUCUUGCCACUGGGGGCAGAAUCUUGUCCCGAGUGAC